RNAcentral lists this ribosomal RNA (254 nucleotides) under uncultured bacterium. RNAcentral describes it as "partial 16S ribosomal RNA". It matches the Rfam family "Bacterial small subunit ribosomal RNA", at positions 524 to 776 of the family's 1533-position model. The record is from RNAcentral.
UACGGGGGGAGCACGCGUUGUUCGGAUUUACUGGGCGUAAAGGGCGCGUAGGCGGUCACGACAAGUCAGUUGUGAAAUCUCCGGGCUUAACUCGGAACGGUCAACUGAUACUGUCGGACUAGAGUGCAGAAGGGGCAACUGGAAUUCUCGGUGUAGCGGUGAAAUGCGUAGAUAUCGAGACGAACACCUGCGGCGAAGGCGGGUUGCUGGGCUGACACUGACGCUGAGGCGCGAAAGCUAGGGGAGCGAACGGG